RNAcentral lists this ribosomal RNA (253 nucleotides) under uncultured bacterium. RNAcentral describes it as "partial 16S ribosomal RNA". It matches the Rfam family "Bacterial small subunit ribosomal RNA", at positions 524 to 776 of the family's 1533-position model. The record is from RNAcentral.
UACGUAGGGUGCAAGCGUUGUCCGGAAUUAUUGGGCGUAAAGAGCUCGUAGGUGGCCUGUCGCGUCGGCUGUGAAAACUCGGGGCUCAACUCCGAGCUUGCAGUCGAUACGGGCAGGCUAGAGUUCGGCAGGGGAGACUGGAAUUCCUGGUGUAGCGGUGAAAUGCGCAGAUAUCAGGAGGAACACCGAUGGCGAAGGCAGUGGGCUGGGCCGGCACCGACGCUGAGGAGCGAAAGCGUGGGGAGCGAACAGG